CAUGCAAGUCGAGCGGAAACGACAMYAWYRAWYCUUCGGAKGMKUURWUGGGCGUCGAGCGGCGGACGGGUGAGUAAUGCCUAGGAAAUUGCCUUGAUGUGGGGGAUAACCAUUGGAAACGAUGGCUAAUACCGCAUAAUGCCUACGGGCCAAAGAGGGGGAYCUUCGGRCCUCUCGCGUCAAGAUAUGCCUAGGUGGGAUUAGCUAGUUGGUGAGGUAAUGGCUCACCAAGGCGACGAUCCCUAGCUGGUCUGAGAGGAUGAUCAGCCACACUGGAACUGAGACACGGUCCAGACUCCUACGGGAGGCAGCAGUGGGGAAUAUUGCACAAUGGGCGAAAGCCUGAUGCAGCCAUGCCGCGUGUAUGAAGAAGGCCUUCGGGUUGUAAAGUACUUUCAGUUGUGAGGAAGGGGGUAACGUUAAUAGCGUUAUCUCUUGACGU
RNAcentral lists this ribosomal RNA (442 nucleotides) under Vibrio splendidus. RNAcentral's name for it is "partial 16S ribosomal RNA". It matches the Rfam family "Bacterial small subunit ribosomal RNA", at positions 54 to 475 of the family's 1533-position model. Lineage: Bacteria; Pseudomonadati; Pseudomonadota; Gammaproteobacteria; Vibrionales; Vibrionaceae. The record is from RNAcentral.